RNAcentral lists this signal recognition particle RNA (298 nucleotides) under Aotus nancymaae (Ma's night monkey). RNAcentral describes it as "Metazoan signal recognition particle RNA (ENSANAG00000012256.1)". It matches the Rfam family "Metazoan signal recognition particle RNA". Rfam says of the family: The signal recognition particle (SRP) is a universally conserved ribonucleoprotein. It is involved in the co-translational targeting of proteins to membranes. Lineage: Eukaryota; Metazoa; Chordata; Mammalia; Primates; Aotidae. The record is from RNAcentral.
GCCAGGCGCGGUGGCCCGUGCCUGUAGUACCAGCUACUCAGGAGGCUGAGGUGGGAGGAUCACUUGUACACAGGAGUUCUGGGCUGUAGUGCGCUAUGCAGAUUGGGUGUCCGCACUAAGUUCAGCAUCAAUAUGGUGACCUCCUGGGAGCGGGGGAUCACCAGGUUACCUAAGGAGGGGUGAACUGGCCCAGGUCGGAAAUGGAGCAGGUCAAAACUUCCAUGCUGAUCAGUAGUGGGAUCGCGCCUGUGAAUAGCCACUGCACUCCAGCCUGGCAGCAUAGCAAGACCCCAUCUCU